UGGGGAAUAUUGGACAAUGGGCGGAAGCCUGAUCCAGCCAUGCCGCGUGUGUGAAGAAGGUCUUCGGAUUGUAAAGCACUUUAAGUUGGGAGGAAGGGCAUUAACCUAAUACGUUGGUGUCUUGACGUUACCGACAGAAUAAGCACCGGCUAACUCUGUGCCAGCAGCCGCGGUAAUGCAGAGGGUGCAAGCGUUAAUCGGAAUUACUGGGCGUAAAGCGCGCGUAGGUGGUUUGUUAAGUUGAAUGUGAAAUCCCCGGGCUCAACCUGGGAACUGCAUCCAAAACUGGCAAGCUAGAGUAUGGUAGAGGGUAGUGGAAUUUCCUGUGUAGCGGUGAAAUGCGUAGAUAUAGGAAGGAACACAGUGGCGAAGGCGACUACCUGGACUGAUACUGACACUG
RNAcentral lists this ribosomal RNA (400 nucleotides) under uncultured bacterium. RNAcentral describes it as "bacterial SSU rRNA". It matches the Rfam family "Bacterial small subunit ribosomal RNA", at positions 355 to 748 of the family's 1533-position model. The record is from RNAcentral.